This 372-nucleotide ribosomal RNA is filed under the name uncultured bacterium. Its description in RNAcentral is "bacterial SSU rRNA". It matches the Rfam family "Bacterial small subunit ribosomal RNA", at positions 524 to 898 of the family's 1533-position model. The record is from RNAcentral.
CACGUAAGGGGCGAGCGUUGUUCGGAAUUAUUGGGCGUAAAGGGCGCGUAGGCGGUCCUGUAAGCCCGGCGUGAAAACCUGGAGCUCAACUCCGGGCCUGCGCUGGGAACUGCGGGACUAGAGUCAUGGAAGGGAAGUUGGAAUUCCAGGUGUAGGGGUGAAAUCUGUAGAUAUCUGGAAGAACACCGGUGGCGAAGGCGAACUUCUGGCCAAUGACUGACGCUGAGGCGCGAAAGUGCGGGGAGCAAACAGGAUUAGAUACCCUGGUAGUCCGCACCAUAAACGAUGUACACUAGGCGUUGGGUCGAGUGACUCAGUGCCGAAGCUAACGUGAUAAGUGUACCGCCUGGGGAGUAUGCCCGCAAGGGUGAA